Molecule: ribosomal RNA, 305 nt
Filed under: uncultured bacterium
Lineage: Bacteria
Description: bacterial SSU rRNA
Rfam family: Bacterial small subunit ribosomal RNA
Source: RNAcentral
GCCUACGGGGGGCAGCAGUGGGGAAUAUUGCACAAUGGGGGAAACCCUGAUGCAGCGACGCCGCGUGAGUGAAGAAGUAUUUCGGUAUGUAAAGCUCUAUCAGCAGGGAAGAUAAUGACGGUACCUGACUAAGAAGCCCCGGCUAACUACGUGCCAGCAGCCGCGGGAAUACGUAGGGGGCAAGCGUUAUCCGGAUUUACUGGGUGUAAAGGGAGCGUAGGUGGCAGGGCAAGUCAGAUGUGAAAACCCGGGGCUCAACUCCGGGAGGGCAUUUGAAACUGUCCAGCUAGAGUGAGUGUGAGGUA